UACGGGGGGGGCAAGCGUUGUUCGGAAUUACUGGGCGUAAAGGGCGCGUAGGCGGCCUGCUAAGUCGGACGUGAAAUCCCUCGGCUCAACCGAGGAACUGCGUCCGAUACUGGUGGGCUUGAAUCCGGGAGAGGGAUGUGGAAUUCCUAGUGUAGAGGUGAAAUUCGUAGAUAUUAGGAAGAACACCAGUGGCGAAGGCGGCUCACUGGCCCGGUACUGACGCUGAGGCGCGAAAGCGUGGGGAGCGAACAGG
RNAcentral lists this ribosomal RNA (253 nucleotides) under uncultured bacterium. RNAcentral's name for it is "partial 16S ribosomal RNA". It matches the Rfam family "Bacterial small subunit ribosomal RNA", at positions 524 to 776 of the family's 1533-position model. The record is from RNAcentral.